RNAcentral lists this ribosomal RNA (467 nucleotides) under uncultured bacterium. RNAcentral's name for it is "partial 16S ribosomal RNA". It matches the Rfam family "Bacterial small subunit ribosomal RNA", at positions 29 to 507 of the family's 1533-position model. The record is from RNAcentral.
ACGAACGCUGGCGGCGUGCUUAACACAUGCAAGUCGAACGGAAAGGCCCUGCCUUUGUGGGGUGCUCGAGUGGCGAACGGGUGAGUAACACGUGAGUAACCUGCCCUUGACUUUGGGAUAACUUCAGGAAACUGGGGCUAAUACCGGAUAGGAGCCCCUGCUGCAUGGUGGGGGUUGGAAAGUUUCGGCGGUUGGGGAUGGACUCGCGGCUUAUCAGCUUGUUGGUGGGGUAGUGGCUUACCAAGGCUUUGACGGGUAGCCGGCCUGAGAGGGUGACCGGCCACAUUGGGACUGAGAUACGGCCCAGACUCCUACGGGAGGCAGCAGUGGGGAAUAUUGCACAAUGGGCGGAAGCCUGAUGCAGCAACGCCGCGUGCGGGAUGACGGCCUUCGGGUUGUAAACCGCUUUCGCCUGUGACGAAGCGUGAGUGACGGUAAUGGGUAAAGAAGCACCGGCUAACUACGUG